Molecule: long non-coding RNA, 495 nt
Organism: Suricata suricatta (meerkat)
Lineage: Eukaryota; Metazoa; Chordata; Mammalia; Carnivora; Herpestidae
Exons: 3
Source: RefSeq, a predicted model, not a curated record
UGAACCUCCACCUCCUGCCCCCCAGGGAACACCAGGGCCUUCUGACUCAGGAACUGAGGCUGUGCUCAGCUGGCCGUGCCAACCUCAGGGCCUUGCUAGCUAAGAGGAAACUAGCACAUCCACCAGCCUACAGCCCCCUGCCCCCUCCCAACCUAGCGGGGUGUGUGCAUAGCGCCUGCCAGCAUUGCCAAGCCUGCCCAUGGGAGGGCCUCUGCGGGGCUUUCUUGGAGCGAAUAAGAGGCAGCUAAGCCAAGUGAAGACCAGGAAAACCCAGUUGCUAUGUGCUUGAGAAAAGCCUGAAUGUGUCCUGUGACAGUUGGUGCCAGGAGGACCAGAGGGGAGGAAACAGAGAGGAGUCAGAAGAGACUGGAUUGCCUUAGCACCCAGCACAUGAUACUCUUUUCCUGGUUCACACAGCACCAGAACAGGGUCUCCUUGAGAGCAGGGGAUGUGCCUGGUUUGUUCAUCUUUGUCCCCUAGGACCUAGCACUCAGG